UUGACGGAAAAAUUCAAUCGAUCUGUCGGCGUAAUAAUAAGCACCCCAUCGUCGACGGAUACGUCGCUGCUCGUCGCAUAUUUUCGCGCGCGCGUUGGAUAACAGCCUCGUAACACGGCGCGUCGCGGUGACACAACUCUGUUCGUGUUAAGUUCCGAGCUCGUCGGCCAACAAAGCGGUGUACGGGACGAGGGACGAUGGUGAAAAGAAAAGAGACGGCAGAGAUUCAGCCGACGUUUCAAGUCAGGCCGAAAGUCUCGCAUGUGCGUGUGAUUCUCCAAGCCCUCCUAUCUCUCUCGCUUCGUCCUGGACGUGUGACGUCAGUGCGGAUACCUGUUGCAUGCCACACUGAGAGGGAAAGAGAGAGAGAGGGAGAUAGAAAGAGAAGCGUUGGUGCGUGCAACGAAUGAUCGAGGCGCCAAAGAAUCGAGAAAAAAAAAUAAAGAUCGAUCUCUUCCCUCGGGGUAAAAUCUCCUCAGAUUCUGCAUCGCGCAAGGCACGUGCAAGCUUGUUUUCUGAAAAAAAUUAUUUAUCGCGAGAAGAAUCAUCGGAGGAGAAACGUAUCGGAGAGGAUUAUCGAUAUUUUUAAAAAUGUCAGAUUCGGCGAGAGACGAGUACAUCUUGCGCAACGCAUCGUUUCUUUAUCCAUCCGCGACUUUUGUUAAGCACGACGCCGAUUUGUCACGAUUAUUAUCAUCUUUAUAGUGAUAUUAAUCGCGUUCAUAGACUAUGCCGACGAAGCGGCGACAGUCAUUAAAUACCAAUGGCGGAAGGGGCAUCGAGGGUGAGCGCGACUAGCUCGCUGGGCUAGCUUUUCAGAAAGAUCGGAAUCAACGAAAAUAGACGAGGCACGGGGCUGCCGUCUCGUUUGGAUGUUCGCCAGUAAUGUGGCGCCGUGGAAAAAUCUUUAUAACGAGAGAGGAAAAGAGAGAGAGAGAGGCAAAGAGAGGCAAAGAGAGAGAUAGAUCUUACACUCGUUUCACGAGUUAUUCACACUGAGAAAAAAAAGUUGUUAACUUGAC
Molecule: long non-coding RNA, 1022 nt
Organism: Camponotus floridanus (Florida carpenter ant)
Lineage: Eukaryota; Metazoa; Arthropoda; Insecta; Hymenoptera; Formicidae
Exons: 3
Source: RefSeq, a predicted model, not a curated record